GGGCGCUUGGUCUAGGGGUAUGAUUUUCGCUUCGCAUCAUGGAUUAAACCCCCAAAUGCGUCAACUUGUGAAAGGUCGUGGGUUCAAUUCCCACAGCGUCCA
This is a non-coding RNA of Myriangium duriaei CBS 260.36, 102 nucleotides long. NCBI's taxonomy places the organism in Eukaryota, Fungi, Ascomycota, Dothideomycetes, Myriangiales, Myriangiaceae. The record is from the annotation of a GenBank genome assembly.